RNAcentral lists this ribosomal RNA (326 nucleotides) under uncultured eukaryote. RNAcentral describes it as "partial 18S ribosomal RNA". It matches the Rfam family "Eukaryotic small subunit ribosomal RNA", at positions 1470 to 1796 of the family's 1831-position model. The record is from RNAcentral.
CCCUUAGAUGUUCUGGGCCGCACGCGCGCUACACUGAUGCAUUCAACAAGCCUAGCCUUGACCGAGAGGUCCGGGUAAUCUUUGAAACUGCAUCGUGAUGGGGCUAGAUUAUUGCAAUUAUUAAUCUUCAACGAGGAAUGCCUAGUAAGCGUGAUUCAUCAAAUCGCGUUGAUUACGUCCCUGCCCUUUGUACACACCGCCCGUCGCUCCUACCGAUUGAAUGUGUUGGUGAGGAGCUCGGAUUGGCAGCAGUUGGUGGUUCGCCACCGGCUAUUGCUGAGAAGUCCUCCAAACCGCCCCAUUUAGAGGAAGGAGAAGUCGUAGCA